GGGUUGUGAGGUUAAGCGACUAAGCGUACACGGUGGAUGCCCUGGCAGUCAGAGGCGAUGAAGGACGUGCUAAUCUGCGAUAAGCGUCGGUAAGGUGAUAUGAACCGUUAUAACCGGCGAUUUCCGAAUGGGGAAACCCAGUGUGUUUCGACACACUAUCAUUAACUGAAUCCAUAGGUUAAUGAGGCGAACCGGGGGAACUGAAACAUCUAAGUACCCCGAGGAAAAGAAAUCAACCGAGAUUCCCCCAGUAGCGGCGAGCGAACGGGGAGCAGCCCAGAGCCUGAAUCAGUGUGUGUGUUAGUGGAAGCGUCUGGAAAGGCGCGCGAUACAGGGUGACAGCCCCGUACACAAAAAUGCACAUACUGUGAGCUCGAUGAGUAGGGCGGGACACGUGGUAUCCUGUCUGAAUAUGGGGGGACCAUCCUCCAAGGCUAAAUACUCCUGACUGACCGAUAGUGAACCAGUACCGUGAGGGAAAGGCGAAAAGAACCCCGGCGAGGGGAGUGAAAAAGAACCUGAAACCGUGUACGUACAAGCAGUGGGAGCACGCUUAGGCGUGUGACUGCGUACCUUUUGUAUAAUGGGUCAGCGACUUAUAUUCUGUAGCAAGGUUAACCGAAUAGGGGAGCCGAAGGGAAACCGAGUCUUAACUGGGCGUUAAGUUGCAGGGUAUAGACCCGAAACCCGGUGAUCUAGCCAUGGGCAGGUUGAAGGUUGGGUAACACUAACUGGAGGACCGAACCGACUAAUGUUGAAAAAUUAGCGGAUGACUUGUGGCUGGGGGUGAAAGGCCAAUCAAACCGGGAGAUAGCUGGUUCUCCCCGAAAGCUAUUUAGGUAGCGCCUCGUGAAUUCAUCUCCGGGGGUAGAGCACUGUUUCGGCAAGGGGGUCAUCCCGACUUACCAACCCGAUGCAAACUGCGAAUACCGGAGAAUGUUAUCACGGGAGACACACGGCGGGUGCUAACGUCCGUCGUGAAGAGGGAAACAACCCAGACCGCCAGCUAAGGUCCCAAAGUCAUGGUUAAGUGGGAAACGAUGUGGGAAGGCCCAGACAGCCAGGAUGUUGGCUUAGAAGCAGCCAUCAUUUAAAGAAAGCGUAAUAGCUCACUGGUCGAGUCGGCCUGCGCGGAAGAUGUAACGGGGCUAAACCAUGCACCGAAGCUGCGGCAGCGACGCUUAUGCGUUGUUGGGUAGGGGAGCGUUCUGUAAGCCUGUGAAGGUGUACUGUGAGGUAUGCUGGAGGUAUCAGAAGUGCGAAUGCUGACAUAAGUAACGAUAAAGCGGGUGAAAAGCCCGCUCGCCGGAAGACCAAGGGUUCCUGUCCAACGUUAAUCGGGGCAGGGUGAGUCGACCCCUAAGGCGAGGCCGAAAGGCGUAGUCGAUGGGAAACAGGUUAAUAUUCCUGUACUUGGUGUUACUGCGAAGGGGGGACGGAGAAGGCUAUGUUGGCCGGGCGACGGUUGUCCCGGUUUAAGCGUGUAGGCUGGUUUUCCAGGCAAAUCCGGAAAAUCAAGGCUGAGGCGUGAUGACGAGGCACUACGGUGCUGAAGCAACAAAUGCCCUGCUUCCAGGAAAAGCCUCUAAGCAUCAGGUAACAUCAAAUCGUACCCCAAACCGACACAGGUGGUCAGGUAGAGAAUACCAAGGCGCUUGAGAGAACUCGGGUGAAGGAACUAGGCAAAAUGGUGCCGUAACUUCGGGAGAAGGCACGCUGAUAUGUAGGUGAAGUCCCUCGCGGAUGGAGCUGAAAUCAGUCGAAGAUACCAGCUGGCUGCAACUGUUUAUUAAAAACACAGCACUGUGCAAACACGAAAGUGGACGUAUACGGUGUGACGCCUGCCCGGUGCCGGAAGGUUAAUUGAUGGGGUUAGCGCAAGCGAAGCUCUUGAUCGAAGCCCCGGUAAACGGCGGCCGUAACUAUAACGGUCCUAAGGUAGCGAAAUUCCUUGUCGGGUAAGUUCCGACCUGCACGAAUGGCGUAAUGAUGGCCAGGCUGUCUCCACCCGAGACUCAGUGAAAUUGAACUCGCUGUGAAGAUGCAGUGUACCCGCGGCAAGACGGAAAGACCCCGUGAACCUUUACUAUAGCUUGACACUGAACAUUGAGCCUUGAUGUGUAGGAUAGGUGGGAGGCUUUGAAGUGUGGACGCCAGUCUGCAUGGAGCCGACCUUGAAAUACCACCCUUUAAUGUUUGAUGUUCUAACGUUGACCCGUAAUCCGGGUUGCGGACAGUGUCUGGUGGGUAGUUUGACUGGGGCGGUCUCCUCCUAAAGAGUAACGGAGGAGCACGAAGGUUGGCUAAUCCUGGUCGGACAUCAGGAGGUUAGUGCAAUGGCAUAAGCCAGCUUGACUGCGAGCGUGACGGCGCGAGCAGGUGCGAAAGCAGGUCAUAGUGAUCCGGUGGUUCUGAAUGGAAGGGCCAUCGCUCAACGGAUAAAAGGUACUCCGGGGAUAACAGGCUGAUACCGCCCAAGAGUUCAUAUCGACGGCGGUGUUUGGCACCUCGAUGUCGGCUCAUCACAUCCUGGGGCUGAAGUAGGUCCCAAGGGUAUGGCUGUUCGCCAUUUAAAGUGGUACGCGAGCUGGGUUUAGAACGUCGUGAGACAGUUCGGUCCCUAUCUGCCGUGGGCGCUGGAGAACUGAGGGGGGCUGCUCCUAGUACGAGAGGACCGGAGUGGACGCAUCACUGGUGUUCGGGUUGUCAUGCCAAUGGCACUGCCCGGUAGCUAAAUGCGGAAGAGAUAAGUGCUGAAAGCAUCUAAGCACGAAACUUGCCCCGAGAUGAGUUCUCCCUGACCCUUUAAGGGUCCUGAAGGAACGUUGAAGACGACGACGUUGAUAGGCCGGGUGUGUAAGCGCAGCGAUGCGUUGAGCUAACCGGUACUAAUGAACCGUGAGGCUUAACCUUACAACGCCGAAGGUGUUU
RNAcentral lists this ribosomal RNA (2931 nucleotides) under Escherichia coli. RNAcentral describes it as "23S ribosomal RNA". It matches the Rfam family "Bacterial large subunit ribosomal RNA". The record is from RNAcentral. Lineage: Bacteria; Pseudomonadati; Pseudomonadota; Gammaproteobacteria; Enterobacterales; Enterobacteriaceae.